AGAGCCAUCUGCAAAACUACUGUGCAAUCGGAAAGAAAAGAACAGCAUGGCUUCCUUGCCUCAGAGACAGCUCACAAGACCCUCCCUAAGAAACCCACAGAGAAACGUGGGCUCCCUGCUCUGACAGCUCCCAGGGGAUGUCGGUGGGGGAUAAAGACGCUGAAGGCCGCCUCAGAGAUAAAAGGUCAGCUACUGUGUGAACUUGACUCCGUGAACCUGACUCCACAUGCAACCUGAAUCCUGCUGGAAACAGGCAUGGUCCCCGUGUCAAUAGAGGAUAUGUACAUCUGCCAGACUCUAGGACAAGAACCUCAUGACAUGCUUGCUGACUGGCAGCUCCUGGAAGGUUGGAAUCAUCAACAGUCACUAGCUCCUAGGAAUCCACGCAGAGCAAUCGCCCUGGAAACAGCACAGAGGACUGAGGCCUAGAGCCAGGAUCUGAUGUCCCCUGGAAGGACCGGACCCCCUCCUGUGAGGCUAGGGGAACUGAGUGACCGGAACUUCCUCCAG
Molecule: long non-coding RNA, 510 nt
Filed under: Mus caroli (Ryukyu mouse)
Lineage: Eukaryota; Metazoa; Chordata; Mammalia; Rodentia; Muridae
Description: lncRNA (MGP_CAROLIEiJ_G0004838.1)
Source: RNAcentral